AAUUAACAAAUUUGUCUUUAACUCAUGUAAUCAUAUAUAUGAAAGUUGGCCAACUCUCUCCAUAUGGGUGACACAUCAUCACACAAGAAAAUAACAUGUGUCAUUUAAUAUUGAUUA
Molecule: small RNA, 117 nt
Filed under: Arabidopsis thaliana (thale cress)
Lineage: Eukaryota; Viridiplantae; Streptophyta; Magnoliopsida; Brassicales; Brassicaceae
Description: ATSL291120
Source: RNAcentral